Apis cerana (Asiatic honeybee) is the source of this 2573-nucleotide long non-coding RNA. RefSeq lists it as uncharacterized. NCBI's taxonomy places the organism in Eukaryota, Metazoa, Arthropoda, Insecta, Hymenoptera, Apidae. The record is from RefSeq and is a predicted model, not a curated record.
AAUCUAAAUGUCGUUUUUUGCCGUCAUGUUUAAUUAUUUUGUAAUAGAUAUUUUGUAAAUCAUAUGCGUAUAUAUGAAUAUACACACAUAUAUUAAUAAUAUACUUAAAAAUACGAUAUAAAAUAUAAAUUGUAAAUAUAUAAACAACAAAUUUAAUACAUAAUUUUAAAAGAUUACUACGAAUAAUGCGAAAUAACCUUAAUGAUUAUAACCUAUACGAAAGUUGAAAAUUUGACAGUAAACAAAAAUAAAAAAAGAAAACGAAUAGAUUGAAACAAUAAAUAUUUUAAUAAAUGCUCUAAGUUGAAGUGUUUUAGUUUUUUUAAUUUAUUUGUUUAAUAUGAAAGUGUAAAUAAUUUAACUAUUUUUCUGUGGAAUACUUUUAUCAAUUAUAAAAUUAAUUAAAUCGUUUAUAUAAUAUAAUUUUAGAACAUAAAUAAAUAUAAAUCUCAUAUAUAGUUUCUCUUCAAUCUUAAUAUUCAUAUAUUAAGUUAUUCAUAUAUUUUGUUAUUUUGAAGAUUAUACUUUUUAAAAUUAUACGAUAUAAUUACAAAAAUUAUAAUAAUAUUUAUUAAUAUUAAUUUAUAAAUUAUUAUAAAAUUAUAAUAAUGCAGAAAUAUUUAAAUUCAUAAUAAUUUUUAUGUUUAAAUAUAUUGAUAAACAUUCGUAAUAAUAAUAAUAAUAAUCCAUUUUAUGUAUAUCUUGUUCUAUAAUAAGAUUUAAUUAUCUAUAUUACUAAUGUCUAUAUUAAUAUUAUUUAACUAUAUACGUGAAAAUUGACAAUGUAUAAAUAUUCGACAAUGUGGAAUUUAUAAUGGUCUAAUCUCGUGAUUUGUGUUGUAAAAACAAAUUCUAUGAUGCAGUAUUUAAAGAAUCUGGUGGAAAAAGAAAAUUCAUCAACUUCGAAACCUUAUUACGGGCACGAUUGCUUAAUUUUUUUCUGUAGAAGAUAAAAUCGAGAUAAAAGUCCAAAGAUCCAAUAUGGUGUGGGUUUGUUCAAUUGCUAUUAAUAAAUGCAACAAUUUGUAAUGAUAUGAUAACACUAGUUUCAUUAUAAUCCACUGCAUUGUGUUUUCUUGCGAAAGUGGUGAAGCAAACUUUGACUCUAAUGUUCUUAAAUAUCAUGAGAUGAUACGGCAAAUCGAGCACGCGCUGUCUGGAUAAAACUCAACAGUACAACUCAAAGUAUAACCGCUAACAUCAGUGCUAUAUCUUGACAAAGACUACGACAAAAAAUGCACAUUCAUGAAGAAUGGAAAUAUAUUGCUGCAAUAGAAAAAAGAAAAGACAAAUGGCUUAUCAGAAUGUGGAUUAAGUGAAGAAAAUUCUAAGAUCCCAGAACAUGUUUUUUAAGAAUCAAAAGUUUUGUUGCGAAAAUUGAAUCAUAGGAAAAAUGCACAGACAACCAUUCCCAAAAAACGAUACAAAAUCUGAGUUUGGAAAAUUCAUCCAUGCAGAUAUUUCAGGUCCAAUGCAAGAAAAUUCGCUUAGAGGAGCUCGAUAUUCCUUAAUGAUGAAAGAUGACUACAGUCACUGGAGAAGUUUAUAUUUUAUCAAAAAUAAAUCAGAGACAUCACGAUAUUUAGAGGAUUUCUUUAAGAAGCAUUUAGAAAAAAGAAUCAUCAUCUUCAGAUCGAAUAACGGUCUUGAAUUUGUCAAUAAAGAAAUUGAAGAACACGUCGAUAUGGCAUUAUGUAUCAGAGAACGAUAUCAUUUACUGUGGAACAGAAAGGUUCUGCCGAACGGGAAAAUAGAACCGUAGUUUAGAAUCGUAGACCAUAGUCAAAAUAAAACCGGAAGAGCAGGGAGAAUCAUACAACGACUCUUUACGUGAAUAAUUUGAGCGCAAUCAAACUUAUUAAAAACCCUGAAUUUCAUCAAAGAAGUAAGCAUAUUGAUGUACGCUAUCAUUUCAUACUCGAGAUAAAUUUUACGAGAAAGAAUUUCUUCUGCAACAUAUAGCAUCAGAAGAUCAGGCAGACCUUCUGAUGAAACCUCUGAGAAUAACAGUAUUUGAGAUAUAAAGAAAUCGAUUGAAUAUCAAGAGUAUCGAAGACAUAAUAGGCACAUAAAAUUAUGACACUCAAAUAUAAUAAACGUACACACACUAAAUAAAUUUCAGUUUACUUUUAAGAAUUAUGACACUCAAACAUAAUAAACGUACACUAAAUAAAUUUCAGUUUACUUUUAGUGGGAAUAUUAAAGAAUUUAAAGUUCACUGAAAUUCUAUUUGUGAGUUUAUUAUUCAAUGUUGCUAGCAAUACCACUAAUUCAUAGCUGGUACCUAUUUGUUUUUCUUCGAUACGCAUACUUCAAAUGUUUUGUAAACAGAUACGCACAAUCAUGUAUAAUCAAAUAUAUUCAUUCAGCUAAACCCGUACAUUUUUAUUUAUUGUUUUCACUACCCAGUCAACACUUUUCAGUAAUUUUAAAUGAACUAAUGGACCCUAUGUUUAUGUUCAGUCACGAUUCUCAAGAUAUUCAAUUGAGAUUACUGCUUGAUUAGUUGUGCGAUCACGUUUCACGUUCCAAAAACAUUGUAUAAUACAACGUAGAGCUGACAUUAAAUAUUU